GACGAACGCUGGCGGCGUGCUUAACACAUGCAAGUCGAACGGUGAAGCGUCUUCCUUUUUGGUGGGUGUGGAUGAGUGGCGAACGGGUGAGUAACACGUGAGUAACCUGCCCCCUUCUUCUGGAUAACCGCAUGAAAGUGUGGCUAAUACGGGAUAUUCUGGGUCUGUCGCAUGAUGGGUCUGGGAAAGAUAUUGUUUCGGUGGGGGAUGGGCUCGCGGCCUAUCAGCUUGUUGGUGGGGUGAUGGCCUACCAAGGCGGUGACGGGUAGCCGGCCUGAGAGGGUGGACGGUCACACUGGGACUGAGACACGGCCCAGACUCCUACGGGAGGCAGCAGUGGGGAAUAUUGCACAAUGGGCGCAAGCCUGAUGCAGCGACGCCGCGUGAGGGAUGGAGGCCUUCGGGUUGUGAACCUCUUUCGCCAGUGAAGCAGGCCUGCCUCGUUUGUGGGUGGGUUGACGGUAGCUGGAGAAGAAGCGCCGGCUAACUACGUG
Molecule: ribosomal RNA, 494 nt
Filed under: uncultured bacterium
Lineage: Bacteria
Description: partial 16S ribosomal RNA
Rfam family: Bacterial small subunit ribosomal RNA
Source: RNAcentral